CAAAUGACAUUUGUUUCCCUACAGUUUCUGCUCAUUUCCUGUUCUCCAAAGCAAAGGAGAACAAAGCAGUUCAAUCUUCUGAAUGGCAACCUUUCAAACAUGUGGCCACUGCCUUGCCUUGCAUGAAUCUUCUAUUCUCUAGGCUGAACAUAACCUGCUUGCAAAAAUUGUUCUUUAUAGGACCUGGUUUUCCAGAUCCAAUGCCAUCCUGGCUGCUCAAGUCCAGUUUAUCAAUGACUUUCUAAGAAUAUGGUGCCCAGAACUAAACACUGUACACCCACAACCUCUGGCAGAUCUGAGUGUUACACUUGAACCGCUCACCAUGUGUUUCUUGAAUAGGAUUAUAAGAAAACUUCUAGUCCCAAGGGAUAUCUGUACCAGUCAAGAUGAUUCUGUUGCUCUGGGGACACUCCAAGCAGAACAGCCUCACGGAGACAAAAAUAGUCCUAAGAGUGAGCAGCAUAUGCCCAUUCUUCCUUCAAAGUGUUAUAAUUUAAUGUGCUUGGCCUGUCAACAAAAUUGCGCACGGUUGCUCUGCAUAAUAUAUCUU
RNAcentral lists this long non-coding RNA (550 nucleotides) under Pogona vitticeps (central bearded dragon). Its description in RNAcentral is "lncRNA (ENSPVIG00000022922.1)". Lineage: Eukaryota; Metazoa; Chordata; Lepidosauria; Squamata; Agamidae. The record is from RNAcentral.